AUUAGAUAGUUGGUGAGGUAACGGCUCACCAAGUCAAUGAUCUUUAGGGGUCCUGAGAGGGAGAUCCCCCACACUGGUACUGAGACACGGACCAGACUCCUACGGGAGGCAGCAGUGAGGAAUAUUGGACAAUGGGUGAGAGCCUGAUCCAGCCAUCCCGCGUGAAGGAUGACGGUCCUAUGGAUUGUAAACUUCUUUUGUAUAGGAAUAAACCUACUCUCGUGAGAGUAGCUGAAGGUACUAUACGAAUAAGCACCGGCUAACUCCGUGCCAGCAGCCGCGGUAAUACGGAGGGUGCAAGCGUUAUCCGGAUUUAUUGGGUUUAAAGGGUCCGUAGGCGGACCGAUAAGUCAGUGGUGAAAUCUCAUAGCUUAACUAUGAAACUGCCGUUGAUACUGUCGGUCUUGAGUAAAUUUGAAGUGGCUGGAAUAAGUAGUGUAGCGGUGAAAUGCAUAGAUAUUACUUAGAACACCAAUUGCGAAGGCAGGUCACUAAGAUUUAACUGACGCUGAGGGACGAAAGCGUGGGGAGCGAACAGGAUUAGAUACCCUGGUAGUCCACGCCGUAAACGAUGCUAACUCGUUUUUGGGGCGCAAGCUUCAGAGACCAAGCGAAAGUGAUAAGUUAGCCACCUGGGGAGUACGUCCGCAAGGAUGAAACUCAAAGGAAUUGACGGGGGCCCGCACAAGCGGUGGAUUAUGUGGUUUAAUUCGAUGAUACGCGAGGAACCUUACCAAGACUUAAAUGGGAAAUGACAGGUUUAGAAAUAGACCCUUCUUCGGACAUUUUCCAAGGUGCUGCAUGGUUGUCGUCAGCUCGUGCCGUGAGGUGUUAGGUUAAGUCCUGCAACGAGCGCAACCCCUGUCACUAGUUGCUAACAUUCAGUUGAGGACUCUAGUGAGACUGCCUACGCAAGUAGAGAGGAAGGUGGGGAUGACGUCAAAUCAUCACGGCCCUUACGUCUUGGGCCACACACGUAAUACAAUGGCCGGUACAGAGGGCAGCUACCUAGCGAUAGGAUGCAAAUCUCGAAAGCCGGUCUCAGUUCGGAUUGGAGUCUGCAACUCGACUCUAUGAAGCUGGAAUCGCUAGUAAUCGCGCAUCAGCCAUGGCGCGGUGAAUACGUUCCCGGGCCUUGUACACACCGCCCGUCAAGCCAUGGAAGUCUGGGGUACCUGAAGUCGGUGACCGUAAAAGGAGCUGCCUAGGGUAAAACAGGUAACUAGGGCUAAGUCGUAACAAGGUAGCCGUACCGGAAG
RNAcentral lists this ribosomal RNA (1259 nucleotides) under Kaistella treverensis. Its description in RNAcentral is "bacterial SSU rRNA". It matches the Rfam family "Bacterial small subunit ribosomal RNA", at positions 240 to 1511 of the family's 1533-position model. Lineage: Bacteria; Pseudomonadati; Bacteroidota; Flavobacteriia; Flavobacteriales; Weeksellaceae. The record is from RNAcentral.